RNAcentral lists this ribosomal RNA (439 nucleotides) under uncultured bacterium. RNAcentral's name for it is "partial 16S ribosomal RNA". It matches the Rfam family "Bacterial small subunit ribosomal RNA", at positions 338 to 795 of the family's 1533-position model. The record is from RNAcentral.
CCUACGGGUGGCAGCAGUGGGGGAUAUUGCACAAUGGGGGAAACCCUGAUGCAGCGAAGCCGCGUGGGUGAAGAAGCGCCUCGGCGCGUAAAGCCCUGUCAGCAGGGAAGAUAAUGACGGUACUUGAGGAGGAAGCCCCGGCUAACUACGUGCAAGCAGCCGCGGUAAUACGUAGGGGGCUAGCGUUAUCCGGAAUUACUGGGCGUAAAGGGUGCGUAGGUGGAUUCUUAAGUCAGAGGUGAAAGGCUACGGCUCAACCGUAGUAAGCCUUUGAAACUGGGGAACUUGAGUGCAGGAGAGGAGAGUGGAAUGCGUAGUGUAGCGGUGAAAUGCGUAGAUAUUAGGAGGAACACCAGUUGCGAAGGCGGCUCUCUGGACUGUAACUGACACUGAGGCACGAAAGUGUGGGUAGCAAACAGGAUUAGAUACCCCGGUAGUC